RNAcentral lists this ribosomal RNA (466 nucleotides) under uncultured bacterium. RNAcentral's name for it is "partial 16S ribosomal RNA". It matches the Rfam family "Bacterial small subunit ribosomal RNA", at positions 28 to 507 of the family's 1533-position model. The record is from RNAcentral.
GAUGAACGCUGGCGGCGUGCUUAACACAUGCAAGUCGAACGAUGAAGCCCAGCUUGCUGGGUGGAUUAGUGGCGAACGGGUGAGUAACACGUGAGUAACCUGCCCUUGACUCUGGGAUAAGCCUGGGAAACUGGGUCUAAUACUGGAUAUGACUUCUCAUCGCAUGGUGGGGGGUGGAAAGAUUUAUUGGUCUUGGAUGGACUCGCGGCCUAUCAGCUUGUUGGUGAGGUAAUGGCUCACCAAGGCGACGACGGGUAGCCGGCCUGAGAGGGUGACCGGCCACACUGGGACUGAGACACGGCCCAGACUCCUACGGGAGGCAGCAGUGGGGAAUAUUGCACAAUGGGCGCAAGCCUGAUGCAGCGACGCCGCGUGAGGGAUGACGGCCUUCGGGUUGUAAACCUCUUUCAGUAGGGAAGAAGCGAGGGUUACGGUACCUGCAGAAGAAGCGCCGGCUAACUACGUG